Nicotiana tabacum (common tobacco) is the source of this 3409-nucleotide non-coding RNA. The record is from RefSeq and is a predicted model, not a curated record. Lineage: Eukaryota; Viridiplantae; Streptophyta; Magnoliopsida; Solanales; Solanaceae.
CCCAUGAAAUUGCAAAACCAAUCGUAAAAAAAGGUAACAAACUAACAUAGCAAAAGCUGUUGCAGUUCGUGGGAGCAGUUUAAAACUCUAUCUACUUUCAUCAAAUGAUAGACCAGAUCGAAGAACCAUAGAUUAUUCUGGGAGGAAAUUUAUACAAAUAGUGACCAGAUCGAAGAACCACCAAUUUCGAGACAGAUUGCGGAAGAAGACUACCCAAUUGGUGAUUGUAGGCACGAAAUCUUGAGUUUGUCACAUAGAAAACAGACAAAAGGGUACGAGAGCAUGACCCACGAAUUCGAUCCCUAUUUCAAUUACAGAACGAUACUUGACUCAGAAAGGUUUUUACAAGUUCUGGAACUGGUUUGACUCGGAGAGUUGGUAUCCACUUGGGUGUAUCAUUGGUGGUACGCUUUACCCUGGGCUUAUGGUCACUGUUGCCGUCAUCUACUGGGUACUGAUAUUCCUCAGAAAAAUGCGAAAGAGGAAGCACGGUGUGAGGACUACGAGAGAGGAGAUUUAUAAUUAUGUAUGGACCAAAAUUAUAUCUUUCCAAUGUUACACUUGGAAAAAUAUUCUUUGUAUUCAUGUUGAAACCACUUUCUGCUUGUGCCAUUGGAAAAAGAACUUCUAGACAAUAUAUACAAUUAUCAGGAUUGCUGAACCAAUUGAGAAAAGAGUUACUAAGGCAAUUCCUGACACAUUUGUAGAGUCAGUUCCCGCCGUUCCAUUGGAUAAUUCAUCUUUAUUGACUUCACACCAUCACAGAAUAGUUGUCUCAUUUCCUUUUCAUCCAUCCUUAGAGCCUUUGUCAAUUGACAUAGGAUGAUCAUUGGUGGGUUCUUGAUUUCAUUGCAGUAUGCUUUAAUGAUAUCCCUGCAUUUUUAAAUUAUCAAUCAUAAUCACCUUGACACUAUACAAUCAUCAAACCACAUGUAUCAUCUAAAAGUAGUAACACAAUAUUUGCAUUUCACGUGACAGAAAGAUGAGUACCAAGAUUAUCAGCAGAUUGUGUUAGAAUCUUCUCUUAUAUCUAACCAUUACUAUAUAAAUAUAAUAUGCAUAAAAGUAAAUAAGAACAUAAUAGAAUAGGACAUAACCAUUUGGCAAAAAAAAACUUAUAAGUAAUGAAAGCUUCUAAUCUUAAUACACUACUUUUCAGAUGUUGUAUUUUCUGAAAGCGUUGACAAAUGGGACUCUUUAUAUGUUUUAAAAAAAAAAUACAAAUGUGUUUAUUUCUUUGCAUCUUCACUUCAAAGAUGUAGCUCCAGUAAACAUAUGCUUCAUAUACAUUAUAUAUAGGUGAAAUAAGACAUGGAUGUGUUAUGCUGCAAUGGUUUACGGGUAUUGCACUGUACACACAACAACACUUCUAUUCCUAUCGUGUUUUCUGUUUUUCAAAUGAUCCAUUUUAAUCUUGCUUUCUUUUCUAUUUGUUAUUUCUAUUCCUAUAAUAUUUUGUGAAUCAUUUAAAAUUUUAAGCCUUUAUUUUGGAAUUAUUUAUCGGAAUAGUAGAGAAAACAAGAUCUUCUUAUGAAGUGCUCUUAAUUUGAAUUCUACCAAAUUAUGUUUUCAGAGGAGUCCUAACUUACCAAAUGAAGCUUAUAACUUCUCUCAUGUUCAUGUCUGUAGUUAUCAAGUCUAAAUUACUUUGUCUUUUACCAAGUUAAGUAAACUUAUAUUUAUUGUUAAGGGAUAAGUUCAUCUAGCUUGGUUGGAGCUUCCUGCUGCACUUUCUUUCUAUAUUUUCAUUGCAUGUGAAUGUGUAAUAUUACCUUAAUUUAUAAUUAGAUAUUUAUUUCAUAUGUAUGAACAAAGUCUUUCAAAUAUGAUUUUUUUACACCAAAAUACUUAUUUAUAUUUUCAUCUUGCCAAUUGAUGUUACAUGUUUAAUUAGCAUUAUCAAAUUUAACUUAUUUCAUGUAAUUCUUGUGUACAAGUAGGAGUACCAAUUCUGAAUUCAUAAGUAGUUGACAAAGAUAAACGAGAAAGCUAUGGGUGCUACAGUUCUAUCCUAAAGAGCAAUGUUUCAAUUAAUGUUUCUAUUUCUUUUCCCCUUAUGAGUAGUUUAAGAAACUACUGCAAUUGGUCGCUCUAUGAUAUAUUGAAUUCACUGGUGAUGAUUCCACACUUUCAUAAGUAAUUACAUCUUCGAAUUAUACCCUCUCUCUUUUUUGCCUAAAGAGUGAACCUAUUUUAUUAAUUGUUAUUCUUAGGAAGUUAAAAUUUUGUUUCUUACCAUUUCAGUUGGUUGAUGUUCGGUUAUAUAGGAUGACACUUUAUGCUGGUUGGGGCAUAUCAUUUUGAAGACCAAAAGGAAUCCAAAGAACUUUAGGAAAACCAUUCAACUCUUUGUUCAUAUAUCCAAUGGAUUUUAUAGGAUGUUUAGACUUCUUAAUUUGGCUAUGAUGUUUCUUUUUUUAAAGGGCACAAAGAAGAUAUGUGCACAUUGUUCUAUGUUCUUUGGAAUUUCUUUCCCUUAAAUCCUUUUUUAAAAACUAAUUCACUCUACGAACUCAUGAAUGAUGAACUUUCAUGGAAAUAAUGUGUCCUGUAUAUACAAAUAGUAUGUCCUUGCAGACACGUAGAAACCACGAUCUAUUUCUGCUAUUGGAAAGAUGAUUUCUAGAACACAAUAUAUACGAAAAAAUUGUACAGAUUAUUUGAAGAUUAUGCAUAUAUACUUUGGAAUUUUCUGAAUUUCUGCUAUUCUAAUUUAUUGAAAGGUUGGGUUGUUCGUCAGUGAGAAGUCCAAGAUCGUUACAAUUCAGACACUACUUUCUCGAUUGAAUUGGUUCUAUAAGAUGAAAAGAUUUGCACCGUCUUAGGGACAUUCAGAUAGACAAACUUGUAUUUGAGGAAGAUGCACCUCGUGAUGGAAAUGCAUUACUUUUUAUGUUUCGCAACCAGCUACAGAGCCGCUGGAAACAUAAAAAUUAAAGUCAUCCUUCUCAUUGUUGGAUUGGAGAUUGAUUUUGAAGUUUUUGAUUCGGACGUCAGGUUGAGCAACACAAUCUUGAGGAAACAAGUCCUCAACAAAUGGUUAUCGUUAUGCCAAAUAACACAUACAUUAAAUUGAGGCCAUUUUCGAUAGACCCCCAGCUAAAGAAACGGUGAAAAUAAAAUAACAAGCAAGAUUGGCGUUGGAGGUUACAUGGUGUUGGCUCAACCAACUGGUGCCUACGAUAUUCGAAUACUUUGAAUUGGAGAUCUGCAAUUUUGGAUGGUUGAAUAAUAUCUCUAUAGCUGCUUUCCAAAGUCAGAGAUGUACUAAAGUUUCUGAAAUACAUUGUUAUACUGAGUGUUUUAAUAUGUAAACUGUAUCUUAGGGAGAAAAAUAAAUCUUUUAAAUUGUUGCGAGAAUUGAUAAGUGUUUACUGUUGUCAUAUGCUUUGGAUUGAUUUUCUACUAA